GACGAACGCUGGCGGCGUGCCUAACACAUGCAAGUAGAACGCACAGUUUAUACCGUAGCUUGCUACACCAUAGACUGUGAGUUGCGAACGGGUGAGUAACGCGUAGGUAACCUGCCUGGUAGCGGGGGAUAACUAUUGGAAACGAUAGCUAAUACCGCAUAAUAUUAAUUAUUGCAUGAUAAUUAAUUGAAAGGUGCAAUUGCACCACUACCAGAUGGACCUGCGUUGUAUUAGCUAGUAGGUGAGGUAACGGCUCACCUAGGCGACGAUACAUAGCCGACCUGAGAGGGUGAUCGGCCACACUGGGACUGAGACACGGCCCAGACUCCUACGGGAGGCAGCAGUAGGGAAUCUUCGGCAAUGGACGAAAGUCUGACCGAGCAACGCCGCGUGAGUGAAGAAGGUUUUCGGAUCGUAAAGCUCUGUUGUAAGAGAAGAACGGGUGUGAGAGUGGAAAGUUCACACUGUGACGGUAUCUUACCAGAAAGGGACGGCUAACUACGUG
Molecule: ribosomal RNA, 505 nt
Filed under: uncultured bacterium
Lineage: Bacteria
Description: partial 16S ribosomal RNA
Rfam family: Bacterial small subunit ribosomal RNA
Source: RNAcentral